Molecule: transfer RNA, 69 nt
Filed under: Mengenilla moldrzyki
Lineage: Eukaryota; Metazoa; Arthropoda; Insecta; Strepsiptera; Mengenillidae
Description: tRNA-Gln
Source: RNAcentral
UACAUUUUAAUAUAAAAAGUAUAAAAAUUUUUGGAAUUUUAAGUAAUAGUUUAAAUCUAUUAAAUGUAA